This is a long non-coding RNA of Melanaphis sacchari, 153 nucleotides long. RefSeq lists it as uncharacterized. The record is from RefSeq and is a predicted model, not a curated record. Lineage: Eukaryota; Metazoa; Arthropoda; Insecta; Hemiptera; Aphididae. The transcript has 3 exons.
UCCAAGUUCAGGAGGUAGAUAGUACAAGCUCUGAAAAUGAAACUGAAAGAACAAUAAAAUUAGAACCAUUAUCAGAUAAUGAAGAAGAUGAUUUUGAUGAUUGGGAACCAGUAACACCCAGAAUAAUAGAAUAUUACGAAAUUCCAUUGUCAA